RNAcentral lists this small nuclear RNA (145 nucleotides) under Canis lupus familiaris (dog). RNAcentral describes it as "U4 spliceosomal RNA". The stretch from base 21 to 145 matches the Rfam family "U4 spliceosomal RNA", at positions 17 to 138 of the family's 138-position model. From Rfam's summary of the family: U4 small nuclear RNA (U4 snRNA) is a component of the major U2-dependent spliceosome. The structure of U4 snRNA from yeast and human has been reported. U4 snRNA presents a k-turn RNA motif in the 5p-SL related to recognition of Snu13 protein. Lineage: Eukaryota; Metazoa; Chordata; Mammalia; Carnivora; Canidae. The record is from Rfam by way of RNAcentral. RNAcentral also lists the same sequence under 1 other name.
CUCCCAGAGUUAGGAGUCUAAGUAUCGUAGCCAAUGAGGUUUAUCCGAGGUGCGAUUAUUGCUAAUUGAAAUCUUUAUAUAUUUUAGAUAUUAAAGCCUUAUCAAGAUAAAUAAUUUGCCCCAAUAUCAUCUUCCUUUUAGUAGG